Molecule: ribosomal RNA, 460 nt
Filed under: uncultured bacterium
Lineage: Bacteria
Description: partial 16S ribosomal RNA
Rfam family: Bacterial small subunit ribosomal RNA
Source: RNAcentral
CCUACGGGAGGCAGCAGUGAGGAAUAUUGGUCAAUGGACGAGAGUAUGAACCAGCCAAGUAGCGUGAAGGAUGACUGCCCUAUGGGUUGUAAACUUCUUUUAUAAAGGAAUAAAACGAGGCACGUGUGCCUUUUUGCAUGUACUUUAUGAAUAAGGAUCGGCUAACUCCGUGCCAGCAGCCGCGGUAAUACGGAGGAUCCGAGCGUUAUCCGGAUUUAUUGGGUUUAAAGGGAGCGUAGAUGGGUUGUUAAGUCAGUUGUGAAAGUUUGCGGCUCAACCGUAAAAUUGCAAUUGAUACUGGCAGUCUUGAGUACAGGUGAGGUAGGCGGAAUUCGUGGUGUAGCGGUGAAAUGCUUAGAUAUCACGAAGAACCCCGAUUGCGAAGGCAGCUUACUAAACUGUGACUGACAUUGAGGCUCGAAAGUGUGGGUAUCGAACAGGAUUAGAUACCCGUGUAGUC